CGCCGCGCGAGCGCCGCGGCGAGCGCCGCCGCUCCCUCCGGCGCCCCGAGAUCGAGCGGGAUCGUCUCCACCCGCGGCGCCC
This 82-nucleotide transfer RNA is filed under the name Acidobacteria bacterium ADurb.Bin051. Its description in RNAcentral is "tRNA-Gly". The record is from RNAcentral. Lineage: Bacteria; Pseudomonadati; Acidobacteriota.